Molecule: ribosomal RNA, 2658 nt
Filed under: Triticum aestivum (bread wheat)
Lineage: Eukaryota; Viridiplantae; Streptophyta; Magnoliopsida; Poales; Poaceae
Description: partial small subunit ribosomal RNA
Source: RNAcentral
AUGGCUACUCCCGCCGCCGCCGCCGUGACGCUCGCGGGCAAGGGCGCCGUGCUCACCCCCGCCGCCGUCUACGCGCUCUCCGUCGGCCUCGCCGACCCCGUCAUCGACGCCUCCGCGCUCCAGAGGCUCUCCAGCCGCGCCCCCUCCCCGCAGGAGACCCCUGGAUCGCUCCGGGACCUGGAUUUGGCGCCGCACGAGUCCCGCGCGGCCGCGGCGGUGCUUCUCAACAAGCUCCUCCUGACGGCGAAUGACUCCUCCUCCGCGCUCGUCACCGCCGCGACGGCCAACGCCCUCGCCGGGUCGCUCGAGCUCGCAGCGGCGCUGCCACCCGCCACCCGCGACGAGGCCGCCGUCGCCGCGGCGUCCGCGCCGGUGGCCGUCGCCUUCGCCGCAUUGAUCGACUGCUGCGCCACCCCUCUUGCCCGUGUCGCCGACGCCCUCGCGGCGCUGUCAUGUGAGGCCGCGCGGGGGGGCGCCACGGCGUUCGACGUGCCCGCGUCCGGCGACGGCCUCUCCGACAAGGACGAGGCUGAUGUGGGCGCUGAUAUCAAGAUGCUCUUAUUGGGGUCCAAGCUAGUGGGCAACGGUGGAGACGCCUCUGCGGCCAUGUUUGCCAAGGUGCCUGCUGUCAACGGAGCUCUCCGCGAGUCUGUGCGCGCACUGCACAAGAAGGUGAGGGUUGAGCUUAAUGCUCCAGUGAAGCUGGGGAAGAGGGAUGCUAGUGGAACGGGUGAGGGGAAGGAGGAGGCGUUGGUGGUACUGGCGACACAGCUUGCAAGGUCGUUGAAUGCAAUGUGCAAACAGAGCGUCGCUCGCGCAAGGUUCUGUGCAGGGAGCAUUGCUGAGGCCGAGCUCCGGGAGAAGCUUGCCGGUGGCGUUAAUGUUGAUGAUUUGAAGGGGAUGCUCGAUAAAGUUAUGGUUGAUUCAGAUGCGGUGUCGGUAUUGCGGGAGGUGUACAACUACUUGCUCAAGUUUAGGGACUUCCUUGCAUGGGAGGCAGCUGUCGCGAUGGCUGUGAUUGAAAUGGACAGUUCAAUUGAGAAGCCUCAAGCUGGUGGGAAGAAUGAAGCUGGCAGUUCAGCGGAGAAGGCACAAGCUGGUGGGGAGAAAGUGAAGGGUGACAGGAAAAGCAAGAAGAAAACGUUGGGGAAGGGAACUUCUGCUGUACUCGCUCUGCUUAGGGAGCAUGCUACAGAUGGAAAAGCCGUUGCUUGUGUGAAUUCUGCGUUGAUUGCAGAUUGGGGAAUUGAGCUGUCUCUGUUGUUUGAUCCUAAGUGCCCCAAAUUGGACUCCCUUGUGGAGAAAGUCAAGGAGAUUGUGGAGAGCAAUGAAGUAGGAAGAUUGCCUAAAAUUCCCAAGGGAACACGUGACUUUGGGAGAGAGCAAAUGGCCAUAAGGGAGCGCGCGUUUUCAAUAAUUACAAGUGUAUUUAAGAUGCACGGUGGUGUUGCACUUGAUACCCCUGUAUUCGAGUUGAGAGAAACCUUGAUGGGCAAAUAUGGUGAAGACUCCAAGUUGGUAUAUGACCUUGCUGAUCAGGGUGGUGAGCUUUGUUCGUUGCGCUAUGAUCUGACUGUUCCAUUUGCCCGUUAUGUUGCCAUGAAUAACAUAAGUGCCAUCAAGAGAUACCAGAUAGCCAAAGUAUACAGGAGAGAUAACCCUUCAAAGGGAAGAUAUCGAGAAUUCUACCAGUGUGACUUCGACAUUGCCGGAGUAUAUGAGCCUAUGGAACCAGAUUUCGAGGUUGUCAAAGUUUUGACUGAAUUACUGGAUAAGUUGGAUAUUGGCGUCUAUGAGAUAAAGUUAAAUCACAGAAAGUUACUUGAUGGAAUGUUGGAGAUCUGUGGUGUGCCUGCUGAGAAAUUCAGAACAGUUUGCUCAAGUAUUGACAAGCUAGACAAACUAACCUUUGAAGAGGUGAAAAAAGAACUGGUGGAAGAGAAAGGUGUAUCAAAUGAAACCGCUGAAAAUAUUGGCAGUUUAGUGAAGACAAAAGGACCUCCACUAGAAGUUUUGCUAGAGUUGCGAAAGGAGGGCAGCAAGUUCAUGGAGAACGAGGGGUCUGUUGUUGCAUUAAAUGAGCUGGAGAUAUUAUUCAAAGCUCUAGAAAAAGCGAAUGCCCUUGACAGGAUAAGUUUUGAUUUAAGCCUUGCUAGAGGCCUUGAUUACUACACUGGUGUGAUAUAUGAAGCUGUGUUCAAGGGCGUCACACAGGUUGGCUCUAUUGCUGCUGGUGGCAGGUACGACAAGCUUGUCGGCAUGUUCAGCAACAAGCAAGUCCCUGCUGUUGGCGUCAGCCUUGGAAUAGAAAGAGUUUUUGCUAUCAUGGAGCAACAGGAGAAAGAAAAGAACCAGGUGAUCCGGGCCACCGAGACGGAGGUUUUGGUGUCGAUUCUGGGCAAGGACCUCAUAUUGGCCGCCGAGCUUGUGAACGAGCUGUGGAGUGCUGGGAUAAAGGCAGAGUUCAAGCUCACCACCAGGGUGCAGAACCACAUAAAGUAUGCGACGCAGACAGGCAUCCCGUGGAUGGUGCUGGUCGGCGAGUCCGAGUUGAGGGACGGGAAGGUGAAACUGAAGGACAUUAGGGCUAACCAGGAAGAGGAGGUUCCAAGGAAAGAUUUCGUUGAGGUGCUGAAGCAGAGAUUAUCUAACCCUUAG